Molecule: non-coding RNA, 45 nt
Filed under: Trichobilharzia regenti
Lineage: Eukaryota; Metazoa; Platyhelminthes; Trematoda; Strigeidida; Schistosomatidae
Source: RNAcentral
AGCUGGCAGAUGAGUCCCGAAUAGGACGAAAUAUGCGUCCUGGAU